This 1095-nucleotide long non-coding RNA is filed under the name Homo sapiens (human). RNAcentral describes it as "HSALNT0131681". Lineage: Eukaryota; Metazoa; Chordata; Mammalia; Primates; Hominidae. The record is from RNAcentral.
CUCUAGUUCAGCAGUAAUGUCGUCGUUAGCACCCAAGGCCCAAACGAGGAAGCAGAGUCAUGCAUGAGAGUCAACUGUCAGGAAACAGUGAGCUGCAGCCCAAGGACAGGCCAGCGGGGGCUGUCGCCAGGGAGGAAGUGCAGUCCACAUGCCGUCUCUAUCCAAGCUCCAGCUCCCUCUGCCAUUCUCCUGCCUCAGAACAGGGAAAAGGUGCUCUGAAGCUGCGCUCCCUUCCACUCAGCCAGAGAAGACCAGCAGACCAGGGGCCAGAGGCAGAGAAAUGCAUGCAAGUGGCUCCUCCCUGCAAAUCAGAACAUCUGACCCUGGCCCAGCACCGGACUCCUGUCCUGGAUGUGGUCUCAACAGCACAGCCUUGGAGCAAACCCAGGGAGCUCGAAUGAGUGACGGUCCUGGUGUGGGUUCAGCCAUAACCUCCAGGACAGAUGAGAGCAGGCACUUCUAAAGGGUGGCCCUUCCGAGAGGGAAAGGCCUGGAGCCUUACGCUGGAGCAUGCUCACUCUGGGGGUCUAGCGCCGAGUCCCGGGUCCUGAGGGACACACUGUGAGCCUGGAGUUGGUGACGGCUGGGGACAUACUGUGAGCCUGGAGCUGAUGACAGCUGGAACCGGACGGUGCACUGUGAGCCUGGAGCUGGUGACGGCUGGGGACAUACUGUGAGCCUGGAGCUGGUGGCUGCUGGAGACAUACUGUGAGCCUGGAGCUGGUGACGGCUGGAACCAGACAUUGCACUGUGAGCCUGCAGCUGGUGACAGCUGGGGACAUACUGUGAGCCUGGACCUGGUGACGGCUGGAACCGGACGGUGCACUGUGAACCUGGAGCUGAUGACAGCUGGGGACAUACUGUGAGCCUGGAGCUGGUGACGGCUGGGGACAUACGGGCUUUGAUCAUCAGCACGUGCUUGGAACUGUCACUCAGAACUCUGGGCUGUGGUGGCAUUUAGUGCACUGAGUUUUGACCUGUCCUGAGCCCUACAAACCUAACUUGUUGUUUUCUAAAAUUAAGGCCAAAAUGCCAGCAAAGCAAGCAUUAUUCCACCCGGUUACCUGCCCACAUCUGCACCAGACACUGCCACCG